UCAUUUCAGCCACAAGCACGUCCUCCCCCUCUCCAUGGAAGACCAAAAGCUUAAGCUUUUUAAUUUCCAAAUAUUUGUCAUUUAAUCGGUAAAUCGAUCGGGUAAUCUUGUAUCCGCCAGCAAAUCGAGCGAAGGAGCAUAUAGUGCGUUUUGAUCACAAAGGAGUGGAUUUAGAGGGUAGAGAAGUAUCAAGGUGAAAUAGGCUUAUGUUCAUAAGCCUGCGAGGUUAGAGUCGACAUUAUGUCAGUGGUGUUGCGCAGCUUUGCAUCUUUGGCGAGUCACUGGUGGUCAACUUGGUUUAGUAGUCGUGGCAUGUUAUGUAAUAGUUUAAUCUUUAACCUUCCGCUGGAUAAAUGUUAAGUUUUUAAAUGUAAUAGAUUUUAAUUAUGCUUUUAAGCUAAAAAGAAAAAGGAAAAAUUUCAGCA
Long non-coding RNA from Salvia splendens (bonfire salvia), 425 nucleotides. RefSeq lists it as uncharacterized. The transcript is spliced from 2 exons. The record is from RefSeq and is a predicted model, not a curated record. NCBI's taxonomy places the organism in Eukaryota, Viridiplantae, Streptophyta, Magnoliopsida, Lamiales, Lamiaceae.